CCGCGGUAAUACGGAGGGUGCGAGCGUUAAUCGGAAUUACUGGGCGUAAAGCGCAUGCAGGUGGUUUGUUAAGUCAGAUGUGAAAGCCCGGGGCUCAACCUCGGAAUAGCAUUUGAAACUGGCAAGCUAGAGUACUGUAGAGGGGGGUAGAAUUUCAGGUGUAGCGGUGAAAUGCGUAGAGAUCUGAAGGAAUACCGGUGGCGAAGGCGGCCCCCUGGACAGAUACUGACACUCAGAUGCGAGAGCGUGGGGAGCAAACAGGAUUAGAUACCCUGGUAGUCCACGCCGUAAACGAUGUCUACUUGGAGGUUGUGGCCUUGAGCCGUGGCUUUCGGAGCUAACGCGUUAAGUAGACCGCCUGGGGAGUACGGUCGCAAGAUUAAAACUCAAAUGAAUUGACGGGGGCCCGCACAAGCGGUGGAGCAUGUGGUUUAAUUCGAUGCAACGCGAAGAACCUUACCUACUCUUGACAUCUACAGAAGCCAGCGGAGACACAGGUGUGCCUUCGGGAACUGUAAGACAGGUGUUGCAUGGCUGUCGUCAGCUCGUGUUGUGAAAUGUUGGGUUAAGUCCCGCAACGAGCGCAACCCUUAUCCUUGUUUGCCAGCGAGUCAUGUCGGGAACUCCAGGGAGACUGCCGGUGAUAAACCGGAGGAAGGUGGGGACGACGUCAAGUCAUCAUGGCCCUUACGAGUAGGGCUACACACGUGCUACAAUGGCGCAUACAGAGGGCAGCGAACUUGCGAGAGUAAGCGAAUCCCAAAAAGUGCGUCGUAGUCCGGAUUGGAGUCUGCAACUCGACUCCAUGAAGUCGGAAUCGCUAGUAAUCGAGAAUCAGAAUGUCACGGUGAAUACGUUCCCGGGCCUUGCACUCACCGCCCGUC
RNAcentral lists this ribosomal RNA (884 nucleotides) under uncultured Gammaproteobacteria bacterium. RNAcentral's name for it is "bacterial SSU rRNA". It matches the Rfam family "Bacterial small subunit ribosomal RNA", at positions 515 to 1398 of the family's 1533-position model. The record is from RNAcentral. Lineage: Bacteria; Pseudomonadati; Pseudomonadota; Gammaproteobacteria.